GUGGCUUCUGGAGCUAACGCGUUAAAUCGACCGCCUGGGGAGUACGGCCGCAAGGUUAAAACUCAAAUGAAUUGACGGGGGCCCGCACAAGCGGUGGAGCAUGUGGUUUAAUUCGAUGCAACGCGAAGAACCUUACCUACUCUUGACAUCCAGCGAAUCCUUUAGAGAUAGAGGAGUGCCUUCGGGAACGCUGAGACAGGUGCUGCAUGGCUGUCGUCAGCUCGUGUUGUGAAAAUGUUGGGUUAAGUCCCGCAACGAGCGCAACCCUUAUCCUUUGUUGCCAGC
This 285-nucleotide ribosomal RNA is filed under the name Shigella sp. FC1967. Its description in RNAcentral is "partial 16S ribosomal RNA". It matches the Rfam family "Bacterial small subunit ribosomal RNA", at positions 839 to 1122 of the family's 1533-position model. The record is from RNAcentral. Lineage: Bacteria; Pseudomonadati; Pseudomonadota; Gammaproteobacteria; Enterobacterales; Enterobacteriaceae.